UUUAUCUCAAGUUAUCAAUAGGAUUUCAGAAAGAAAUAUAAGUAUGGAUGUGGAAGAACAUAUCUAUCCUGUCCUGAAAAAGAUUCACGCACAAGGCCCUUUAGUUGAUGAAAUGGUAUGCCAGCAGUACAAGGAAUUAUACUUGGAAAAAUACUGUUUUAAAGUCACACCUGCUGAUCAAGGAGUAAUGAUUAACAAUGAAAUUGGAUGCAUUCAAAAUAUUAUUUCAAAUAAAUGUGAGCCUAAUAAUAUAAGUAUAAUAUAUCAAGUAUAUCAGGUUAAGGAAAUUGUUUUUCAUUACCCAUUAUCAUCUGCAAAUUUAGGAAUUUACAAAGUUAAAACACUGCAAAAAGAUUUGAAGAUAUCUUCUUACAUGGCAAUCCAAAGAAAAUAUUUGCUGAUACAAUUAUCACAAAAUUCAUUUGCUGCUUUUCCACUUGUUCACAGCCUUCAGCCACAGUGAUUCAAUCAAUCAGCAUGACUUCCAAAGAGUUUUGUGUAGUUGUGUUUGUUGAAACACAAGAGGUGGAUGUUGCUCCAAGCAUUUGGCUUUCAAAAAAUGAAAGAAAAUGUAGAUGGCCUCCAUACAGAGACUCCCAGAAAACUCAAAAGGCUAUCAAGGACCAAGUCAUGCCUGGGGAAAGUUGGCCUACCUAUCCAGUGUGAGUACUUGGCUUUUAGGAUUGAAGCGUAAAACACUUUAUGAAGACACAGACUGCUCUGACUCAUCUGGAGAUACAUCAACUAUGCAGCCAAGCCCAAGCACAAUUCCAGAACCCCCUCGUGUUUCUGGUUUCCCAUCUCUUCAAAGAAGUAAUGCUUUUUGCAUCCCUAAGGUUGACAGAGACACGCAUUCUGACCGUAAGUGAUGCUGCUAACUUUGCAUAAACAUUUUGGGUGUAACUGUAAUAUCUUACAUUUAUCUUUUAACUUUUUUGCAAUAUUGAUAAAAGCUUAAUUUGUAUACAUUGUUUAUCAUGUUUCAUAUAAGUAAUUUAGAUAUUCAAUUAGUAUACCUCAUGAAAAAAAAUUCUCGUGAAAUAGUAGUGAAACUGGAAUUUUUUCAAGCUUCAUACAUGACAUCAUUGUUUAAAAGACUUACUGAACCUAUACACUCUAAUCAGAGUACCUGUAGACCAGAAUGAUUGCAUGCAAAUCUAUUCCAGGAACUGAUGGACAUAGUUGAAUUUAUCACACUGGUCACAAAUCAAAUCUACACACGGCCAUUCCAGCACUACAGUAAUGUUAACAUUACAGUCUGGCAUGUACACAAGUAUAUCCUAAGGCACCUGAUAGACAUAGGUCACACUGGUUACAGAUUACACUUAUAUCUAUAGCCAUUCUAACGCUACAGUAACCUUAACAUGCACUUUACACAAGAUACAUGGGCUUACCAAUGUGGACUAAGCCACCAUGGUAAGGUAUGGUCUGGAGUUAAAGGAUGACUAACAACAAAAUCACUGUGUGAUAUUUCAUUACAUACUAUUCUACAUACUAUUCUGCUUGUUCUAGUGACUUAGAAAUCUGAAUCUGAAAUUUCUAUGGCAACUUUUUCUUUCAGAAUUGAAGACUAUUCUACUUGCUUUAGCAAGAUGUGAGACACGCACGGAAGAUCAAACUAAACUGCUUCAACAACUAAUGGCAACGCAGAAGGAUAUGCUACACCAGCUGUUGACAAUGCAGUCGGUAUCAUCAUCAUCACAGGAAUAUGACUUUACUGCUGUUGAUGAUGUACUACCAAUUGAAACACUUCAGGGAUUUGAUGCUCUUGAAGGAAGACUGACAUCUGAUCAAGAAUUUAAAGAGCUUAUGGUAAGUAAAAUUAAUAAUUUUAUUAACACUUUAUUUGAAUGAUGUUACGUGUAGCGAUCCAUGCUAUUUUUAUGAUAUUUACUUGUGUCUGUCUGUGUGUAUGUAUGUCCUACAACUAUAUCAUUGUGUGUCCAGUAUCUUGUUUCCGUCUAUUUAUGUCUCAACUUGUGUCUUGUUGUGCCCCUUUAGCCCUACGGCAUCAUGUCAACAACACAUGUCCUGCAGCUGCUCCGUCCAUCCCAGUCUCCCUCCCCUCACCCGUUCAUAGAAAAAAUGUUUGUUUGUUUUUCUUUUUUCCUUAACUCCUCCCAUACCCUUCUCCUGAGCCACUCACAGAAAACUAUCCAUGUUUGGGUGUGACCUACAAUGACCUCCAUACACUGCCCAUACCCUGACAUCGUGUCCACUCACUUCUCCGCCCACUAAUUGUGACCAAUCCCUGCCCUAAAUUAUGUGUAAAAUAAGGUUUUGUUCCACCCCUUUGUGUUUCUUUCCCUCCCUCUUUUGAAUUGUAUAAAAAGUCCUUCUCUUGCCUUCACUUCACUUCAGCAUUCCAGGUGCCUUGGUCCCUCCCUUCCCCUACCGCUCCUCUCUAGUCUUGUGUAAGUACAACAUAAUGUGAAUUUCCCCGGUAACUUAGUGUGUGUGUGUGUCUGCGGGUUAGGUGUUAUGUUGUAGGAUUUAUUUGUGUCUUCAUAUUUGUGAUUUUAUUUAUUUACCGUACUUUACUGUUGUGCUUAUUUUAUCUUAAAGUAGUAACUGGACUUAUCUUUUGGAACUUGUAAAUAUUUCACUUUCAUUUUUGUUGUAUUAAUAUAAUUUCUUUUGUUAUUAAAUUAAGAAACCAUUUCAAGUUUUCCUUUUUUUCCUUUCUUGUCCCUUGUUUUAAGUUUACUUAAGUGAUCCCUUUUAUUUAUUUUUUGAUUGUGUUUAUGCAUCUAGAGGCCCCUUGGUAAUGAUUACCAAAGGUUGUGUAACAAUGAAUGAUAACAAAAUAAACUGGAAUAAUGUUUUACAUAUUUUAGCCUAACUGUGUGUGAAAGACGCAGUCAGGUUCUUUUAGUUUGAGUUUGCAAAACUAGUUGAUCACACUCUAGUCGUAGUUAAAUCAAGCGAACUGUAUGUUGGGAAAAUACUUCAAAUGCAUGAUAAAAAAUAACAAAGAACAUAUUAUUAUCUAAGUUAUAUGUUUUAGGUACAACGGCUGAAGGUUUUGGGAGGAACUACAUUGAGAGUUGCAGUAAAGUCAAUUUUGGAUACUGUCAUGUCAAAUCGACUGCAACAGAAAUUCAAUUGGGAGGGCAAGAAGUGUUGGAAAACAAAGGAGAAUUUCACCAAGAUAGGAUUCAAGUCAACAAAGCUUUGUCAACUGGUGUGUGGAGUGCUGCUCAUGAAGCCACAAUUUUCUACAGAUGAGAAGGAGAUUGGUCAAACAAUUAUGAAAUAUCUCCGUUGUUCCAGCGAUCGUUGUGGAGGUAGAGCACAAAGGUUGAAAUCCCAGUCAAAUGAUUCAGCACAUUCAUCACAAGAUGGUGUUUUGUCAGACAUAGAUAGCUAGAUCUUAAUUAGGUGAUUGAUCACAAUAGCCAUGUCAGAGUAUGGUUUAAGUAUUUGUAUACGGUUCUUUUUUACUGGGAAAGUAAUGGAAGGAAUUUCAUCUCAUGCAUUACAAAAGAUUCUCCAAGGAAAAGAUUACUGGAUUUGUUAUUUUCAGUUUCUGUUUGAAUCCCCUUAACUUCUUGCAAUGUUUCAUGCAGUUAAUACUGUAUUCAUCAUCAUC
Long non-coding RNA from Eriocheir sinensis (Chinese mitten crab), 3592 nucleotides. RefSeq lists it as uncharacterized. The transcript is spliced from 3 exons. NCBI's taxonomy places the organism in Eukaryota, Metazoa, Arthropoda, Malacostraca, Decapoda, Varunidae. The record is from RefSeq and is a predicted model, not a curated record.